This 495-nucleotide ribosomal RNA is filed under the name uncultured bacterium. Its description in RNAcentral is "bacterial SSU rRNA". It matches the Rfam family "Bacterial small subunit ribosomal RNA", at positions 28 to 520 of the family's 1533-position model. The record is from RNAcentral.
GAUGAACGCUAGCGGCAGGCUUAACACAUGCAAGUCGUGGGGCAGCGCGGACUUCGGUCUGGCGGCGACCGGCAAACGGGUGCGGAACACGUACGCAACCUCCCUCAGAGCGGGGAAUAGCCUCUCGAAAGAGAGAUUAAUACCCCAUAGUAUCUUGAAGACACAUGUCUAUGAGAUUAAAGCUUCGGCACUUUGAGAUGGGCGUGCGGCUGAUUAGGUAGUUGGUAGGGUAACGGCCUACCAAGCCGACGAUCAGUAGCUGAUGUGAGAGCAUGAUCAGCCACACGGGCACUGAGACACGGGCCCGACUCCUACGGGAGGCAGCAGUGAGGAAUAUUGGUCAAUGGAGGAAACUCUGAACCAGCCAUGCCGCGUGGAGGAUGAAGGUCCUCUGGAUUGUAAACUCCUUUUAUAAAAGAAGAAACCCCAUUUUUCUAAAUGGGUUGACGGUACUUUAUGAAUAAGCACCGGCUAACUCCGUGCCAGCAGCCGCGG